ACUUAAGAAAAGAAUUUUAGUUCAGCCUAAAGCUUCUUCAGCUCCUCAAAGCAACCCUUAAACUUUAGAGCAAUUCAAAUAAGGUACAGCUUAUUUGAACAAGGACACAACCUAAUCUAACGGGUAACUAACCAUACACAGCCCAGUUGGCCUAAAAGCAGCCAUCAUCUAAAAGCGUCAAAGCCUAACACAACCCCUACACACCAAUUCCUUCACCCCCCUCCAACCCUUAACCCAUAUUAAGUACUUCUAUGCCUCCAUAGAAAUUUUUAUGUUAAAACUAGUAACAUGAAACCACCUUCUCCUAAUGCAAACAUAAAUCAGACAGAAACCCGCACUGAUAAUUAACAACCCAAAACAGCAACCUCACAAGAAAACCCUGCCUCAACCCUCGUUAACCUAACACAAGAGCAUUUCAAGAAGAUUAAAAGAAAGAGAAGGAACUCGGCAAAUAAUGAUCUCGCCUGUUUACCAAAAACAUCGCCUCUUGCACCCAUAAGAGGUCCAGCCUGCCCAGUGACUCUGUUCAACGGCCGCGGUACUCUGACCGCGCGAAGGUAGCGUAAUCACUUGUUUUUUAAAUGAAGACUAGUAUGAAAGGCAUCACGAAAAUCAAACUGUCUCCUCUUUCCAAUCAGUGAAACUAAUCUCCCCGUGAAGAAGCGGGGAUUUCCAUAUAAGACGAGAAGACCCUACGGAGCUUUAAACUACUGGCACUUGCCCAUACCUUAACCUCACACGAAACUCACCCAAGCAUCUCUGCCCACAAGUUUUAGGUUGGGGCGACCACGGAGAAUAAACAACCCUCCAUGCUGACACAGAACUAUUUCUAAGUGAAAACCCACAGGUUUUCAAAUCAACAUAUUGACACUUAUUGACCCAGUAAUCUGAUCAACGAACCAAGUUACCCUAGGGAUAACAGCGCAAUCUACUUUGAGAGCCCAUAUCGACAAGUAGGCUUACGACCUCGAUGUUGGAUCAGGAUAUCCCAGUGGUGCAGCAGCUACUAAAGGUUCGUUUGUUCAACGAUUAAAACCCUACGUGAUCUGAGU
This 1052-nucleotide ribosomal RNA is filed under the name Euparkerella brasiliensis (Brazilian Guanabara frog). Its description in RNAcentral is "partial 16S ribosomal RNA". It matches the Rfam family "Bacterial large subunit ribosomal RNA", at positions 855 to 2610 of the family's 2925-position model. The record is from RNAcentral. Lineage: Eukaryota; Metazoa; Chordata; Amphibia; Anura; Craugastoridae.